This 10417-nucleotide long non-coding RNA is filed under the name Ananas comosus (pineapple). RNAcentral describes it as "long non-coding RNA (ACOM_LNC012205)". The record is from RNAcentral. Lineage: Eukaryota; Viridiplantae; Streptophyta; Magnoliopsida; Poales; Bromeliaceae.
ACCACUACCACCACCUACCACCAUCAUCUCAACCUCACAUCUCUCCAUCCAAGGCUAAAAACACACAAGUACACUUGGUGUAUACUUGUAAAGUAAUUCUAGCCCUAACUCUAUAUAAUAUAUUAUAUUAUAUAUAUUAUAUAUAAUUAUAUAUAUAUAUAAUAUAAUAUAAUAUAUAUAUAUAUAUAUAUAUAUAUAUAUAUAUAUAUAUAUAUAUAUGAGCUCCUAUGCUUUUAAAAGUACCAAGUCAUUGUGUUUGUAAGUUUUCGGCCCUUGGAUUAAGGGAUGUGCGGUUAGGAUGAUGUGGCUCUCUAAGGUUGAGUAGUGUUGGUUGAAAUAGUAUAAUCCAACGAUAAAAAUGAUUAAAAGAGAGAUCUAACGUAAAAAAUUUACAAGGCAACCAAGUUUUUGUGCUUUUACAAGCACCAUAGCCGGACUAUAUAUAUAUAUAUAUAUAUAUAUAUAUAUAUAUAAUAUAUAUAUAUAUAUAUAAUAUAUAUAUAUAUAUAUAUAUAUAUAUAUAAUAUAUAUAUAUAAACUCAUUUAGAUGGUUGGAUAUAGCAUUUUUGUAUUUUUUAAUAGGAUUAAUUGAGCUCCCUAUAAAUAUAUUGAAUAGCAAAUAUAUUUCUAUAAGUUCAGUUUUUUAUUUUUAUUCAUGUAGAAGUCCAGUGAUAUUCAUAUUUGCCCCUUUGAUUUGGUACCGUUAGAGCACUGUUUAAUUUCUAACAACAGUUAAGUGAAAUGAUAUUUUUUUCUUAUCCCUCCAAAAGCCCCAACUGCUAUAUUUAUUCCUCUCAAAAAAGUAUUUUAUCUAAUAAUAUAAUAGGGGUAAAAAGAUCAGUUUAACUCAUUCAAUAAUGAGGGUUAAGUACUUUACUCGUGAUUAAUUAUAUUUUUCUAAUGGAUCUUAAUAGCAUGGAUAUAUUUGUUUUGUACGAAUAAAAAUAAAAAAUUGUGCUUUGUAUGGAUAUAUUUACUAUUCGAUAUGUUUGCAGGGAGUAGUUGUAUGCUAUUAACCCUUUUUAAUAUAUAUGCUCCUUAAAGAUAGGUUAUCCUACAGGUGGAGGGAUGAAUUUUAUAUCCAUCAAAACUAUGAUCUCUUUAGGCCCUUUUUGAUAACAGAAAAUAUUUAGAACGAAAUAUUUUAUUUUUCAAAUUUUACCAAAAAAAAGUUAAAAAUAGGGAUGCAAACGGGAAUCAGCUGGAUUGGUGGAGCUCCCACUUCGAUUUGCUCCAAAUAAGGCAGUAAACGGGAAAAAAAUAAACUGAUGCGAGAUAGGAAACAUGAUAAUUUUUAUGAUCGAGGCGGAUUCGGGCAGGAAACGAAAAAAAUUUUGAUCCGCUCCAAAUCCGCCACGAAUCCGCCCCGUCAUGAUCCGCUCAAAAUCCGCUGCGAAAACCGUUUAUAUUUUAAGAAAAUAUCCCUAAAAAUAAGAUAUUUACAAAAAAAUCACAAUACAAAUAAAUUGAUACUCUCAUUUCUCAUGUAUUUGAAACUUUUAAAUUUUGCUUCGAAUUGUAAUUGAUAUUUUUUAUUUUUAUAAUUGAUGUUGUUAAUUUUAUAUAUAACUCAGUAAUAUUAUUUAUUAUUAUUAAAAAAUUAUUAAUUUAUAUUUUACAAAAUAUAUUAUAAUUUUUUUAAAAAAAUAUUAAUUAAUAUGGCGAAUUCGGAGCGUCGGUGGAAGAUGGGUUAUGAAAUUUUGGUAGUCCGGUGUGGGAGGCGCGGUGGGUCUCCGGCCCCCAAAUCCACCCCACUUGUAUCUCUGGUUAAAAAUAACAUAAAUAAAUAAUUUCGGUCAAAGUGGGAAAUUCUAGUUUAUCAUGCCCCCACCUACCUCCUAUUCAUCGCCUCCCCCAAAAGCUUCGUCUCCCUUUCUCUCGCUCCACUUAACUCCAUUUUCUUACCUAAUCUUAACCUCCCUGAAAAACUUUAUCUACCUCUCCCUCUCUCAUCUUCAUGGACGGAGCUAUUAAUAGACCCAAAGGGGCCGUGGUUUCUCUCAACUUUUCAAUAUUUAGUUUAUAAUCUUUUGGUAGCUUAUAAAUUUUUAGUUAAUUUUUAAAAUAUAUGAACAUAUUUUGUAAAAAAUAUUUAGUACUUAGUAUAGGGCUCUCUUUUUUCUUAUGUGUUUUAUAGGUAAAAAUACGCUAAGAACCUCUUAAUUAUAGUGCAUUUUAUUAACAAAAAUUUAAAUUCUAACUAAAUUACUAUUAGAUUUAGUAAAAUUCUUAAGUUAUUUGAUUAGAAUAAUGUAAAUAAAAUAAUUAGAAUUUAAGCGAGUGUAAGUUAACGAAAUAAAUUUAAUACUUUUUAACAUUAAUUAUCUAAUCACUAAAUUUUUUUUAUUAAGAAUUUGAAUAAUUAAAAUCUUAUUUAUUGUUAAAAUUUUUAUUUGUAUAUAUUUUGGCCGCCCUCGUGAUUGAAUCCUCGCUUCGUCCCUGCUCGUCUUCACUUCGAACUCUCAAAUCCUACAUUUCUGGGUAGGAAGCCGGUGCUUUCUCUUUUAUUUUUACUCCAUUUCUUCUCUAGAAUUCAUCUUCAUUAUCUUCCCUCUUUACAAAUUUAUGUAAUAUUGCUUAUAUUACAAAUUUAAAUACAAUUUAUUCGAACAAAAUAUUUCAUAUAAGUUAUUAUCUAUGUUACGAACACAGGUUCAUAGUAUUAAAGGGCAAUAUUGGUAUUUAAAUUUGUAAUAUAAGCAAUAUUACAUAAAUUUGUAAAGAGGGAAGAUAAUGAAGAUGAAUUCUAGNNNNNNNNNNNNNNNNNNNNNNNNNNNNNNNNNNNNNNNNNNNNNNNNNNNNNNNNNNNNNNNNNNNNNNNNNNNNNNNNNNNNNNNNNNNNNNNNNNNNUCAAUUUAAGAUCGGAGUUAUUGAUCUUUAUCUAGGUAGUGAAUAGAAUUUUCUAUCAAAAAUUCAACCUUCUCGGAUUUUUUUGCACCAUUAAACUAGCAAGUGUUCCAUACCAGCCGUUAAAAAUUGUCAAUUUUGUGAGCUUUUGAUCGUAAAGUAAUGAUAUCGAAAAAUUAUAAAAUUUAAUUUUUAGAUAUUUUAAAUGCUCUGUGACACCCCAAUAGUCCCAUAUCGGAUGGGAAUGGGGUUGUCAUUGGGUUUAUAAGAGACUUAGACACUNUCAAAUUUAAUUAAUUUAUAUUAUAUAAUAAAAUUUAAGUCUAAAUAUAUUAUCAUAAAAAUAAUAUUUAUAUUAAUAUAUUUAUUUAUAUAUCUAUUUAUCUAAUAAAAUAAAGAUAAGAAUAAAGUUGUUCUCAGUUUUUCUAGGGACAAUUUUUAGCGGGUUGUUCCAGAACAAUCCAGAACAACCUGUUUUGACCAGAACAAUCCGUUUCCUCCUGUUCUUUUACCGCAUGGUUAUAAUUUAGGGAACAUCCUGUAUUGUUCCGAAAUAUCCUCGGUACCAACCGCAGCUGAGAGAACAAGGUUACCAUCCUAGAGAGGGGUACGUGGAGACGAAUUAGCGCUCUAUGGUUUCGAUCUCGUCCUUUUCCUCCUUAUCUAAAGCCAGAAGCUGGGAAAAAGAGGGAAAAAAAUAAAAAAUAAAAUAAAAUAAAAUCUCCCUUCGGAUUUACUCGGCCAUGUAUGAUUGGGCUGGGCCAGUAAUGAUGCCUUGGGCGAGCCGGUCCAAUUAAAGAAAAUGAUAGCUUGGGUCCGGGCCAGAACUUCCAGUGCCUUUGAUUUUAAGGCCCCGACAAACUCGGUGUACCGGAUUGGACGAGUCGCGUUGGUGGGUCACUGGGUCGAGCCAGAUUUGCUCGAGCCUAAAUUAUCUUGCAUGCGUGAUAGCUAGUGCACCAGCAAAUAUGUAAGUACUCCGAGCAGAAGAUUCCUCUGCAAAUGCCUCGCCCUCAACUCAUCCAAUCGGGGGGAGUCCGCGAAGGCAACGAAAAAUUGUCAGGUGAAAUUUUGUUGUUGCCCUUUAAUGUAAAAGACCCAAAACUCUCCUCAUGGAUCAGUAUCCUGUUUUCACUGGCCAGUAUUCAGAGCAGGAGCAUUAAAAAAAUGUAACCCCAAAUCCAACCUGCUGAAUCUAUUCCCGUACUUGUUACUUGGCCCAUGCCUCCGUAAAAUGGCAUAUUGUUUUGCAUAAAUAUCUUUUAGGCCCGUUUGAUUUAACGUGAAACUGUAAAAAGUAAUUUUUGGUUUUUUUUUUUUUUUUUAACGUUUUGUAGUGUUCGGUGUGUAGGAAAAAAAUAAUUUUUUAUCAAUAUUUGUGAAACAAUCGUUGUACUCUAAAAAUUUAAGUUGUUAGAGAACGGUAUUUAUAUAUUUUUCUAUAUUUAAUAUUUUUCUUAACAUUCCCUCUCACAUCUGGGCUCAAGAUUUUCCCCUCACAUCUGGACUCGAGAUUUUUGUAAUGCCCAUAGCGUGAACUUAAAUUAAAUGAAAGAAAAUUAAUAAUCUUAACACUCCCCUCACAUCUGGGCUGUGAGCUUGAAUUUUUUGCAAGGCGUAUAACGUCAAGCUUAAAUUAAAUGAGAAAAAAUUAAUAAUUUUAACACUCUCCCUCACAUCUUGGCUCGAAAUGACUUAAAUUAACUUAGAGAAAAUUAAUAAUGUUAGAAGUCUAGCAUGACUCGAAAUCAGAAUCUUCUGCUCUGAUAUUAUAUGAAACAAUCGUUAUACUCUAAAAGCUUAAAUUAUUAGAAAAUAAUAUAUAUAUAUAUAUUUUUUAUUUAACACUCCCCUUAAUAACAUUUAUUUGGUUAAAAGAAAAAAAAAUCCACACUUGCUUGGUUCGGUCGAAAAAAAAUGUUUGAAAAAAAUUUUACGCAGUUUAAAUUUUCGUUUUUCACCAAAAAAUAGCAAAAAAAAUAAAAAUUUCAAUUUUUUCUAUAUUCGUAAAAAUACAUGCAUGAAAAGAUAGUUUUACGUCAAGCCAAAUAAGCGGAAAAGUAUUUUUCAUACCAAAAAUAAAUUUUUGGUUCAUCUUAGGCGAACCAAACAUCCCCUUAGUGAAAAACAAUUUCACAUAUUUUUAGUGAAACAUAUCUUUGUGGUUUGUUUUAUAGAAAAAUAUUUUUUUUUUGAGAAAUAUUUUAUAGAAAAAUAUUAUCUGUACACCUCAAAAAGAGAAAGCAUAUUUACACACUAAAGUUUUGAAUUUAUAAAUUUUAAUUUUAAUAUUAUAGAAAAAUUGACAAGGCAUGCAUAGGAGUGAUAUAGAUCCUUAGACAAAGGAGCCUAAGAUUUACUCUUUUGUUUUUGGAUAUAUAAAUCUCACUGUUCUUUUCGAUACGAAUGCGCAACUUCUUUUUUUUUUUUUUUCACUCUUUCUUGAGGCCUUGGAUACUUUAUUCUUGUAGCUUAAUUCACUCUUUUUAUGAAUAAUUAAAGUGAGUAGCAGGCUAUCUUCUUUUUCAAAAAAAAAAAAUGUGCAACUUAAAGUGAAAACUUUUUCCCCUCACUUUCCGUCUCUCUCAACCUAUUUUCUUUUUCUGCAAACUGACCAAUUACAUGUCUCAAACUUUAUCUCGGCCAAAGCAACUAGAAAAAUAAAUGUAAUAUUUUUCAAUGAAAGAAUGAAUUUUCUCAUGGAAAGUGCUUUUAAUAGUUUUCUUUUAAAUCAAAAUAGCUAAUUAAUGAGUUAUACGGAGAUAUUAAAUGUGGAUCGGAUCACGAUCUGAGACUUGUCACUUGGGCAAGAACCAGUAUCUAAAUCUUUCAUAGACAACACCAAUGUUUUCUUUUUUGCCCUACUAGCUAGGUGUGGUUAUUGGAGUGAACCCAUUAACUAAUCGCCACAAAACACUACCUAGUUAAGAAUAGGUUGUUGUUACAUAUCCAAAACAAAAACUAAUCGUUUUUUAGUACAGGUCAGGCCAUUAAAAAAAGUGCUGUACUUAAACUACAAAAAAUAAAUGCCAAAUCAAGGAAAUGUGAAACAGGCCAGAUUUGAGCAGAACUAGAUCGAAGUAGAUCGAGAUUCUUCGCCUGGCCCUGAGUUACAAAUGGUAACUUAAAUGCCCAUGUGAUUGCUGCAACAUUGUCCCUGUCCCCAUUGUCAAUUCAAUCCGAGAAAUUACUGGCUCUGCCGCGCCAUAACUAAGUCCUAUAUAUAUACUGGAACACUUGUAUGUAUGAGUUUUACUACGUACGUACAGAGGUUCCAAAAAUCAUAAUAUAAUAUGUUCUUCAAUAUUUGAAGAGAUCUAGCUAUCUAUAGAUUGAGAGUCACAUAUUUUAGAUAUCGAAUUCUUAGCGAUCGAACAUUGAUUUUUGGGCUGCUCGAUACCUUUGGUAAUAGAAUUACUAAAAAUUUACAAGUUUUUAUAUACAUAUUCUUUGAUUAUUGCAUGUUGUACGUAUAUUAUAAAUGUAGAAUGAAUUAAGUUAGAAUAUUUUGGACAAUAAUAUUCACUGUAUACUUUUUAACAAUUAGAUAUCUAGUCUAGGAUUUAAUAUUGGUAGGUAGAAGUAGAACAACAUUAAUGUAGAAGGUUAAUUAGAAAGUUGAUUGAAAAAAAAAAAAAAAUUAUUUACUGUCAAUUAAUAGUGUUCUAGAUAAACUCAAUGUAUAUGGUGCAUGAGAUGUACGAAUGCACGUGGUGUAUGCAGUAAUUUCUGAUAAAAUUCGGCCCGAGUCCGCAUAGGCCGAGGUGGUUGGAUCCUCUUAAAUGCCACGUGUCUCCAGAGGAACCCCGACCAAAAAGAUCCCAAGAUUGAGCUGCACCCAAUGGGGACUCCAGUACAGGAUCUCAAAUAUGGUUUUUGGUGCGUGGUGAGUUAAAAAAAAUGGAGAAGCGCCUUGGCUCAAGAGGAGGGGUCGACGGAGACAGGGAUAAGGUGAGGAGGAACUUAAAUGAGCCAUUAAUGGCUCCCAAUCCCAUUUGCUAAAGCAUGGUGAGAAAUUUAAUGCCCUCCAUUAAUUUAUUUUUAUGGUACCUCUCAUUAGAAGUUUUAGGCUUUUAUCUCGUCGUGUUAUUUCCAUACUCUACUGAGUUUAGAGUUCUACAUUGCAUCCAUCCAAGAGUUAAUAUAGGUUUUUUUUUAAAUUUUACUGUUUAAAAAAUAGGAUUGUAAUAUGACUAACGAUCGAGCUGAUAACAUUAGGCGUCUUUCUUUUCCUUUUGAAAGAGAAAGAUAGCAUAACUCAAGUUUUUGGUGCGAUCGCUCGAGAUUUGAGACAGUUGAAUUUUACUAAAAUAGUUUCAUUAGCUCCGGUAAGUAUUAUAAAUAGUAGUAGAUAAGAUUAUGCUAUAGUAGGGUAUCUAAAAUAGACCAAAUUAGUAGAUUGUGUCUCACAUAUAUACUUUCUUAAAAAAAAAGGAAACAUACUGAUUAUAUCAAAAUUAGAAAGAAUCCAUAAUUUUAGUUCGCCAUGGGUAGGGACAUUAUUGCCGAUUUAAUAAUUUCUAGACGUUUUUUUUUUUUUCUUUUAAAAGAGAAAGAUAGCAUGUUAUCUCAAAUAAAUUUUGAACUCGAGUCUUCAAAUAUGAACUAUCAAAUUUUUAGUCAACGGUACUAGAUAAAUUGGGGUCUACUACUUUGAACACUCCAAAAUAAAUAUUGCGUUAGGAUUGAGCAACACGUGGCUUAGUGUGCUUAAAUAUUCGGGGCCCAGUGUUUUGGAUUUUACCGGACGUUCUAGUUGAAGUGCAUAUAUAUGUAACUCGGUCGAUCAGUGGGUCAAGGGGAGGAGUAAAUGCUCUAACAUUUGUGAUCCUCUCCCUCCUUGUGAAAGGGCUCCGAUUAAUGGAGAAUUAAACAUUGAUGGUUCCCUUUGGCCACACCCUCAACUAUCAACUAUAACUAGAAGUAUAGGUUUUGGGAAAUUGUGUUUCUUCCAGUUGUGCAUAAAUGAUGUACCAAAUCACUCGAUUUGGAUUAUAUGUAAGAUCCAUGUAUAUGCCACACUAAUAUUUUGGCAAUUUUGCGAUAAUUGUUAGAGCUGGUGGGAAGUAUGAACAUCUUAUUUAUCAUAUAUAACUCCUUAAAUUGUUCAUCUGUGAUAAUUAUUAGCUCAUGUUAAAAUCUCAAAGAUGAUUAUAAUAUUAAUUACAGACUCUUAAAUCGUAUUUUUGAAAUAUAGCAGAUCACCAAACAGAUGGUACAAACGAUUACAAUCUCAAAAUAAGCAUCAGAUGAAACUUCUGAGUGAUAAUCGCCAAAAAAAAAAAAAAAAAAAAAAAAUCUGUAUCAUAUGAAUGAUUAAGCUGUCAAAAUAACUGACAAAUACAACUUUUGAACUGUAAUUGUAAAAAAAAAAAGCCCUAUUGUAACGAUACGUGGUUCAAGAUGUGAUCAUUCAAAUUAAUUGGUCAUAACGAAAUAAUUAAUAAAUUCUCUUUGGAUAAAAAAAAAAUAAUUAAUUUAUAAAGGAGCGGAGGGAGUAAUAAAUGCAUUAAUGUUCAAGAUGGUGAGAAGGACGUACUUACUAAAAUUAAAUAAUUAUAAGGUACCUUUCAAUGUGAUGUGAUGUAGCAUGUAUAAAUACGAAACAUAGGCCUUGCCUGACCAUAUUCAAUUGCAUUAAAUUAACAUCACACUCGGCUACUUAAAUUGCAGUGCGGUUCGAAGAGCAAACCAAAGUUUGGCAUGCAGUCCUUAGACACGACAUUUAAAGCAGGAACCUGAAGAAAGUUUAUUAAAGGGAAAACUUUAAAAAAUUCCUCUGUGGUUUCGUAUUUUUUUAUUUUAAUAUUUCGUAGUUUAAAAUGUAUUAAAUUAGUAUCAUGUGGUUUUAUAUUUUCUCACUUUAGUAUUCUGUGAUUUAAAAUGUAUCAAGAUAGUAUUCUGUGGUUUUAUUUUUGUAUCAAGUUAGUACCUUGUGGUUUUAUUAUUGUAUCAAGUUAAUACCAUAUGAUUUUGUAAAUUACAGGGUACUAAAGUGAGAAAGUGCGAAACCACGGGAUACUAAAGUGAGAAAGUGUGAAAUCAUAGGAUACUAACUUGUUACACUUUAAACCACAUAAUACUAAAGUGAGAAAAGUGAAACCAUAAGGAGGGUAUUUGAAGUUUUCCCUUUAUUAAAUUAGUUUACAAUAAAAGCACAUCAUUUGGAGCGAUUAUAUAUAUAUAUAUAUAUAUAUAUAUAGUUGAGCUAUGAUACUUUUACAAGUAUCACCAUCAUGGUGCUAUUAGGUUUUAAGCCAUUGGAUCUACUUUUUGAUUAUUAAUAGUCCUUGGAUUAAACACUAUUCCACCUGCCACUAUCAUCUCAACCUCACAUCUCUCCAUCCAAGGGCUAAAAACACACAAGUAUCACCCCCAUGAUACUUUUACAAGUAUUCUAGCCCUACUAUAUAUAUAUAUAUAUAUAUAUAUGUAGAGUAGGGCUACUAUACUCUUAUGAGUAUAGAAGCCUUCGUACUCAUAAGUUGUUUUCGAUGAUGGAGCUUCCGAAUCGAUGAUCCACUCCGUUAAAUAUGAUCUAGAGUAUUUGAAACUUCUCGAAAAUAAAUUUUGUAAAUUUUUGAAAUCAUAAUAAAGUCCAUCAAGAAGACAUAAAAUAAACAGUCAAAAUCGAACGACGUCCUAAAAAUGGAUGAUCGGAUCCUUCAAUUUAAGAUCGGAGUUAUUGAUCUUUAUCUAGGUAGUGAAUAGAAUUUUCUAUCAAAAAUUCAACCUACUCGAAUUUUUUUGCACCAUUAAACUAGUAAGUAUUCCAUACCGGCUGUUAAAAAUUGUCAAUUUUGUGAGAUUUUGAUCGUAAGGUAAUGAUAUCGAAAAAUUAUAAAAUUUGAUUUUUAGAUGUUUUAAAUGCUCUAGAUAACGUUUAACGGUGUGGAUCGUCGAUUUGGAAGCUCUAUCAUCAAAAACAACUUAUGAGUACGAGAGUGAUCGUACUCAUAAUAGUAUAGUAGUUAGUUAAGACCGCUCGAUAUUUAUAUUCAUCACCACAUUCUUUUUCUCUUUUACAGCCGGAAAAUGGAAAGAUCAAUCUUUUUAAGUUCAACGGUGUAGAAGUAUCCAAAUUACAUGAAAGUUUAAUAGAAAAUUCUACUUAACAUCAAUAGCAAGAUCAAUACUUCUGAUUUGAAAUUUGAGUCCUUUAUCAUUAUUUUUUAUAAGAUUUUUAUUUUCAGCCGUUCAUUUUGAGACUACUCGUUCACUAGGCAAACGAAGUCAAAAAAUUAUGAAAUUUGGUUUCUAGAUAGUUCCAAUAGCGUAGAUCAUAUCUAAUGGAACUGAUCGCCGAAUCAAACGUCUCAUCAUCAAAAACAACUUACAAGUACGGAGGCCCCGGUACUUUCGAAAGCAUAGGAGCCUACAUAUAUAUAUAUAUAUAGUUGAGCUAGAAUACUCUCAAAAGCACUAUGGGGGUGGUGCUUUUGAGUUUUUAGCCAUUGGAUGGAGAGAUGUGAGGUUGAGAUGAUUGUGGUAGGUGGUGGUAGGUGGAAUAGUGUUUGAUCCAAGGGCCAUUAGUAAUCAAGAAGUAGAUCCAAUGGCUAAAACCUAAUAG